AAUUUGAAGUCAACCAGGAUUUUUCCACCAAAAUUAUUUCUCCGCCACUAUGUCAAAUUUGUAAUGGAUUCUAACUCUUUAAACGGUGCAGAUUUUGGAGAAGGUACUUAUUCAUCACGUAAGAAAAAGCGAUAAGAAAUCAAAUUGGCAAUGUUUGUCUGGUUACGUUUACUACAACCAAAAUAUGUCUAAGAAAGUCCAGGAGUCUCCAUCUUAAUACAAGACCUAUAUCAUCUAUCUUUUUCUGGAAAAUCGGUGGCUUCCCAAACUCUAUCCAAAUUCAACAAAAACAAACACCGUGUAUCAACUACCAUACUUGCAAGCGUAUAUUCGAAUGGUCACAUAGAGGACCUUGAAUAUAGAUUCUGCAUGAAAGAUGACUUAGCUUACUCUAACCUUGUUCGAGAUCAAGCGUUUAUGUUGAAAUUCCUGAGAAGUAAGCACAAUUUCGACUUAGUUCAUAAAUACGCAAGACAUCAACAAGCCAAGUGAUGGAAUAAAUUAUAGUAAGUUGCAUCAAGAACUUGAAUUAUGAUGGCAUUCCAAACGAAAGACGAGAAGAGCAAGAUCCUUCAGUUUGGACUCAUUGUCUGCAACAUUGUGGCUUUUGAAAUAUUCAUAAGGUUAGCUUAUGUUGUAGUUCACUUUUAAUGAAUGAAUAAUGAAUAGACAAAGGAAACCUUUUGCUGAAUGAUUCUCAGUUUGAUAGGAGUCGAUUGCAUCGUCUUUGAUACACAUGAACUACAACCAAAAAAUUAAAUAAUGAAUUCACUCAAGUAUGUGCCAUACAAUAUCAUUUUUCUAUUAGUAUUAUCAGAGAUGUAUUAAAGUUCUUCUAUUAGACUUUAAUAUCAUAAUUUGACGAAUGUAUUAAAUUAUACUUGUGUGUUUCCAAUCUCAUCUAUUUAUGUAUAGACUGUUGCAUUAGGUUUGAUAAUAGCUUUUUGUUGUAUAAAUUUUCAGGAUAUUUUUUUUUUUUUGCAAGAAUGAAAUUGAAGAUUUUUAUUAACGAUAACAUGUGUUUUUUUUUUAAUAUUUAAGUGGUUGAGAUUUUUAUUUUUAGCUACAAAGUUUUGUAAGUAAUGCCAUGGAAGGCAGAAAUAACUAAUUGACUUUUUAUUCUCUAUUUUCUCUAUUAUUAAUAUAUCUUAAAGAAAUAUGAUUUCCAUAUACUCAAAUCAUUAAAUAUUAGGUAAUUACAUAGAGUGACCAUAAGUAUUGAAUAUACCUAAACUGGAUCUUGCAUAUUGUUUGACUCAAAAGAUAUUGGAACAUUUUUGAACAAAUCAAUUAAAGAAAAUGAAGGAGUAAAUCUUAGUUAAACAUAAUAAAUUCCAGAUCAAUGAGCUAAUCGAAAGAAUAAUAUAUGAGAUGAAACAUAGGCCAUCGAUCUUAUUGAAACCCUUCAUUGGGGCUCCCACUAAUCAAAGGAGGAGGUAGUUUUACAUGUUUUUCUGGAAAUUACUUCGUUCUUCCUUUUCAUUAUGAAGAUUACAAAGGAGUGAACUCCCG
RNAcentral lists this long non-coding RNA (1512 nucleotides) under Nicotiana tabacum (common tobacco). RNAcentral describes it as "long non-coding RNA (NTAB_LNC019409)". Lineage: Eukaryota; Viridiplantae; Streptophyta; Magnoliopsida; Solanales; Solanaceae. The record is from RNAcentral.